CCUACGGGUGGCAGCAGUGGGGAAUAUUGGACAAUGGGGGGAACCCUGAUCCAGCCAUGCCGCGUGUGUGAAGAAGGCCCUCGGGUUGUAAAGCACUUUCAGUGAGGAAGAACGCCUGGUGGUUAAUACCCAUCAGGAAAGACAUCACUCACAGGAGAAGCACCGGCUAACUCCGUGCCAGCAGCCGCGGUAAUACGGAGGGUGCGAGCGUUAAUCGGAAUUACUGGGCGUAAAGCGCGCGUAGGUGGCUUGAUAAGCCGGUUGUGAAAGCCCCGGGCUCAACCUGGGAACGGCAUCCGGAACUGUCAAGCUAGAGUGCAGGAGAGGAAGGUAGAAUUCCCGGUGUAGCGGUGAAAUGCGUAGAGAUCGGGAGGAAUACCAGUGGCGAAGGCGGCCUUCUGGACUGACACUGACACUGAGGUGCGAAAGCGUGGGUAGCAAACAGGAUUAGAUACCCGUGUAGUC
RNAcentral lists this ribosomal RNA (465 nucleotides) under Vreelandella stevensii. RNAcentral's name for it is "partial 16S ribosomal RNA". It matches the Rfam family "Bacterial small subunit ribosomal RNA", at positions 338 to 795 of the family's 1533-position model. Lineage: Bacteria; Pseudomonadati; Pseudomonadota; Gammaproteobacteria; Oceanospirillales; Halomonadaceae. The record is from RNAcentral.